This 677-nucleotide ribosomal RNA is filed under the name Salmonella enterica subsp. enterica serovar Infantis. RNAcentral's name for it is "partial 23S ribosomal RNA". It matches the Rfam family "Bacterial large subunit ribosomal RNA", at positions 2259 to 2925 of the family's 2925-position model. The record is from RNAcentral. Lineage: Bacteria; Pseudomonadati; Pseudomonadota; Gammaproteobacteria; Enterobacterales; Enterobacteriaceae. RNAcentral also lists the same sequence under 11 other names.
UGGUGGGUAGUUUGACUGGGGCGGUCUCCUCCUAAAGAGUAACGGAGGAGCACGAAGGUUGGCUAAUCCUGGUCGGACAUCAGGAGGUUAGUGCAAUGGCAUAAGCCAGCUUGACUGCGAGCGUGACGGCGCGAGCAGGUGCGAAAGCAGGUCAUAGUGAUCCGGUGGUUCUGAAUGGAAGGGCCAUCGCUCAACGGAUAAAAGGUACUCCGGGGAUAACAGGCUGAUACCGCCCAAGAGUUCAUAUCGACGGCGGUGUUUGGCACCUCGAUGUCGGCUCAUCACAUCCUGGGGCUGAAGUAGGUCCCAAGGGUAUGGCUGUUCGCCAUUUAAAGUGGUACGCGAGCUGGGUUUAGAACGUCGUGAGACAGUUCGGUCCCUAUCUGCCGUGGGCGCUGGAGAACUGAGGGGGGCUGCUCCUAGUACGAGAGGACCGGAGUGGACGCAUCACUGGUGUUCGGGUUGUCAUGCCAAUGGCACUGCCCGGUAGCUAAAUGCGGAAGAGAUAAGUGCUGAAAGCAUCUAAGCACGAAACUUGCCCCGAGAUGAGUUCUCCCUGAGACUUAGAGUCUCCUGAAGGAACGUUGAAGACGACGACGUUGAUAGGCCGGGUGUGUAAGCGCAGCGAUGCGUUGAGCUAACCGGUACUAAUGAACCGUGAGGCUUAACCUUACAAC